CCCACAUGAAGUCGGAGUCGCUAGUAAUCCCGAAUCAGCAUGUCGGGGUGAAUGCGUUCCCGGGCCUUGUACACACCGCCCGUCACGCCAUGGGAGCUGGUAAUACCCAAAGUCGGUACACCAACCGCAAGGAGGAAGCCGCCUAAGGUAGGAUCAGUGACUGGGGUGAAGUCGUAACAAGGUACC
Molecule: ribosomal RNA, 186 nt
Filed under: uncultured bacterium
Lineage: Bacteria
Description: partial 16S ribosomal RNA
Rfam family: Bacterial small subunit ribosomal RNA
Source: RNAcentral